This 898-nucleotide ribosomal RNA is filed under the name Tenacibaculum sp. sydyt5. RNAcentral's name for it is "bacterial SSU rRNA". It matches the Rfam family "Bacterial small subunit ribosomal RNA", at positions 52 to 953 of the family's 1533-position model. Lineage: Bacteria; Pseudomonadati; Bacteroidota; Flavobacteriia; Flavobacteriales; Flavobacteriaceae. The record is from RNAcentral.
CACAUGCAGUCGAGGGGUAACAUUGUGCUUGCACAGAUGACGACCGGCGCACGGGUGCGUAACGCGUAUAGAAUCUACCUUUUACAGGGGGAUAGCCUUUAGAAAUGAAGAUUAAUAUCCCAUAGUAUUGAGACUUGGCAUCGAGACUUAAUUAAAGAUUUAUCGGUAAAAGAUGACUAUGCGUCCUAUUAGCUAGAUGGUAAGGUAACGGCUUACCAUGGCGACGAUAGGUAGGGGUCCUGAGAGGGAGAUCCCCCACACUGGUACUGAGACACGGACCAGACUCCUACGGGAGGCAGCAGUGAGGAAUAUUGGGCAAUGGAGGUAACUCUGACCCAGCCAUGCCGCGUGCAGGAAGACUGCCCUAUGGGUUGUAAACUGCUUUUAUACAGGAAGAAACACUGGUAUGUAUACCAGCUUGACGGUACUGUAAGAAUAAGGACCGGCUAACUCCGUGCCAGCAGCCGCGGUAAUACGGAGGGUCCGAGCGUUAUCCGGAAUCAUUGGGUUUAAAGGGUCCGCAGGCGGUCAAUUAAGUCAGAGGUGAAAUCCCAUAGCUUAACUAUGGAACUGCCUUUGAUACUGGUUGACUUGAGUCAUAUGGAAGUAGAUAGAAUGUGUAGUGUAGCGGUGAAAUGCAUAGAUAUUACACAGAAUACCGAUUGCGAAGGCAGUCUACUACGUAUGUACUGACGCUCAUGGACGAAAGCGUGGGGAGCGAACAGGAUUAGAUACCCUGGUAGUCCACGCCGUAAACGAUGGAUACUAGUUGUUGGGCAUAAGCUCAGUGACUAAGCGAAAGUGAUAAGUAUCCCACCUGGGGAGUACGGUCGCAAGACUGAAACUCAAAGGAAUUGACGGGGGCCCGCACAAGCGGUGGAGCAUGUGGUUUAAUUCG